This 528-nucleotide ribosomal RNA is filed under the name Melanogrammus aeglefinus (haddock). RNAcentral describes it as "SSU rRNA". It matches the Rfam family "Eukaryotic small subunit ribosomal RNA", at positions 67 to 572 of the family's 1831-position model. The record is from RNAcentral. Lineage: Eukaryota; Metazoa; Chordata; Actinopteri; Gadiformes; Gadidae.
ACACGGCUGGAAAAGUGAAACUGCGAAUGGCUCAUUAAAUCAGUUAUGGUUCCUUUGAUCGCUCACCCGCUACUUGGAUAACUGUGGCAAUUCUAGAGCUAAUACAUGCAAACGAGCGCUGACCUCCGGGGAUGCGUGCAUUUAUCAGACCUAAAACCCGCGCGGGGCGUCGCCGCGUGGCGGCCCCCGGCCUGUUUGGUGACUCUAGAUAACCUUGGGCCGAUCGCUCGCCCUCGCGGCGGCGACGACUCAUUCGAAUGUCUGCCCUAUCAACUUUCGAUGGUACUCUAUGUGCCUACCAUGGUGACCACGGGUAACGGGGAAUCAGGGUUCGAUUCCGGAGAGGGAGCCUGAGAAAUGGCUACCACAUCCAAGGAAGGCAGCAGGCGCGCAAAUUACCCAUUCACGACUCGUGGAGGUAGUGACGAAAAAUAACAAUACAGGACUCUUUCGAGGCCCUGUAAUUGGAAUGAGUGUACUUUAAAUCCUUUGGCCAGUACCAAUUGGAGGGCAAGUCUGGUGCCAGCA